GAUGAACGCUGGCGGCGUGCCUAAUACAUGCAAGUCGAGCGAACGGACGAGAAGCUUGCUUCUCUGAUGUUAGCGGCGGACGGGUGAGUAACACGUGGAUAACCUACCUAUAAGACUGGGAUAACUUCGGGAAACCGGAGCUAAUACCGGAUAAUAUUUUGAACCGCAUGGUUCAAAAGUGAAAGACGGUCUUGCUGUCACUUAUAGAUGGAUCCGCGCUGCAUUAGCUAGUUGGUAAGGUAACGGCUUACCAAGGCAACGAUGCAUAGCCGACCUGAGAGGGUGAUCGGCCACACUGGAACUGAGACACGGUCCAGACUCCUACGGGAGGCAGCAGGAGGGAAUCUUCCGCAAUGGGCGAAAGCCUGACGGAGCAACGCCGCGUGAGGGAUGAAGGUCUUCGGAUCGUAAAACUCUGUUAUUAGGGAAGAACAUAUGUGUAAGUAACUGUGCACAUCUUGACGGUACCUAAUCAGAAAGCCACGGCUAACUACGUG
This 497-nucleotide ribosomal RNA is filed under the name uncultured bacterium. RNAcentral's name for it is "partial 16S ribosomal RNA". It matches the Rfam family "Bacterial small subunit ribosomal RNA", at positions 28 to 507 of the family's 1533-position model. The record is from RNAcentral.